Neogale vison (American mink) is the source of this 709-nucleotide long non-coding RNA. RefSeq lists it as uncharacterized. The record is from RefSeq and is a predicted model, not a curated record. Lineage: Eukaryota; Metazoa; Chordata; Mammalia; Carnivora; Mustelidae. The transcript is spliced from 4 exons.
CUGAAAGAAAUCCACCUCUCCGGGUUUUACUAGCAGCUUGAGGAAGCGUAAGGAAAGUGCUGGGAAGGCUGGCUGUCUGCUACAGACUCUUGGCUUCAGGAAAGUCAGCUACGUUUCCUGAUUUGAAAGUCGUGGCCAUAUGAAGAAGAGGUCCUGUAGUGCCCACUGUACAGUGUCCCCUGUUUACCAGAACCUGUAAUUCCGAGGGCUGUUUGUUGUGCUGAUUCUUUAAGGGAUGGGAGGAAAGACAGACAACCUGAGAUGGACGUUGGAGGAGACUACUAUAAUUUUAAAUUAUGACCGUCAACAAUUUGUGGAGAAAACCAAAUUUCUUACUCUGCACUCCAUUUUUUAAAAGCUUGUUUAUGUAACAGAGAUGUUUCCUGCCCAGUGAUUCAGUGAUCCAUUAUUAACCGGGCUUGUUCAUUCUAACACAUUGUUUUAGGUGCUUAAUUGACUCAACCCUUCCAUACAAGAUAAAACUCGCUUAGGAACCCCUUUGACUAGUAGAGUAAUUACGCAGAUAAGAAUGUGAAUUAAAUGUUUGGGUGAAUAACAAUGAUAGUCACAGUGUUUCCAUUUUUUAAAAAUUGUUGACAGAGCAAUAAGAAAGAUCAAAAUAUUAUUAGAAAUGACUGAGAUAUAGGACCUUUAAGUAAUUCUUGAUAUAUGAAAGAAUAAGGUAAUCCUUAAAUAUUAUUGCUGUUGU